AGAUUGAACGCUGGCGGCGUGCUUAACACAUGCAAGUCGCGCGUGAAAGUCCUUCGGGAUGAGUAAAGCGGCGCACGGGUGAGUAACGCGUGGAUGAUCUACCCAUGAGUUGGGAAUAACGGGUUGGAAACGAUCGCUAAUACCCGGUACGUUCCGAUUUCAACUUCGGGAGAAGGGGGCCUCUGCUUGCAAGCUUCUGCUCAUGGAUGAGUCCGCGUCCCAUUAGCUAGUUGGUGAGGUAACGGCUCACCAAGGCAUCGAUGGGUAGCCGGUCUGAGAGGAUGACCGGCCACACUGGGACUGGAACACGGCCCAGACUCCUACGGGAGGCAGCAGUGGGGAAUAUUGCGCAAUGGGCGAAAGCCUGACGCAGCGACGCCGCGUGAGGGAUGAAGGUCUUCGGAUCGUAAACCUCUGUCAAGAGGGAAGAAACGUCAGGGUGCUAAUCAGCCCUGAUCUGACGGUACCUCUAAAGGAAGCACCGGCUAACUCCGUGCCAGCCGCCGC
RNAcentral lists this ribosomal RNA (507 nucleotides) under uncultured bacterium. Its description in RNAcentral is "bacterial SSU rRNA". It matches the Rfam family "Bacterial small subunit ribosomal RNA", at positions 26 to 518 of the family's 1533-position model. The record is from RNAcentral.